Molecule: RNA transcript, 6969 nt
Organism: Pseudomyrmex gracilis
Lineage: Eukaryota; Metazoa; Arthropoda; Insecta; Hymenoptera; Formicidae
Gene: Rim
Gene name: regulating synaptic membrane exocytosis protein 2
Exons: 25
Source: RefSeq, a predicted model, not a curated record
GUGUCGGAUGACUUCCCCAGGACGACAGCCGUGCUUCGUAGUCGUAGAAGGUUAUAUCCGGUUGUUGUUAUAUCCCGCGGCGAGGAGCAUCGUAGAAGAAGCGCGCGGAGGGAGCGGCCCCAUCGGUGUAACGCUAACGUCUCGUCGACGUCGACGUCGUCGGUGGUGCGCCGACUUGCUGCGACCUAUCCGCGUCAUACCCACGUCGCAUACCCCGUGCACGCGCGUACAUCGCCACCGCCGUGAUGGCGGAGCUACCUCAGCCCGACAUGUCGCACCUCACCCCCGAGGAGAGGCGCAUCAUAGAGGGUGUUUUAAUGCGCCAAAAAGAAGAGGAGGAGCAGGAUCAUGAGAUUCUGAGGCGAAAGCAGGAUGAGGUGCAAAUCCUCGAAGAAACAAUACGUAUGCGCUCCGAGAUACACAAAAAGGCGGGAGUGGAGCUGAACGCCACGUGUCACAUAUGCCUGAAAACCAAGUUUGCCGACGGCGUCGGCCACAUCUGCAAUUACUGCAACAUCCGGUGCUGCGCACGCUGCGGCGGAAAGGUCACACUACGGUCAAGCAAGGUGAUAUGGGUGUGCAUACUUUGUCGGAAGAAGCAGGAACUUCUUUCGAAGACCGGACAAUGGAUGUCGAAGACGGGUCUCGGUGCCGUGGACAACGCGCUGCUGCGACAAAUGCAGGAAGACUUGCAGGUGGGUGGUCAUCAGGGACUCGCGGACCAAACUCGGGAUAAAAGACCGAAACUCGAGAGGGCGCACAGCGCGGCUGAGAAAGAGAAUUUGCCGUUAUUACAGAGAAGCGGAAACUGUCCUCUCAGGAGACAGUACUCACAGCAAGAGCAGAUCACGGGUCGCCGAAUGUCCACGAGCGACAGCGGAGUGGAAAUGUCAAUUUCACCUCACGCGAGAUCCCUACCGACACCUCACGUAGGAAUCGUAGGAUCUUAUCCGGUGCAACAAAUUCCGAGACACCCCGCAGUUUACCCCGACGAUGAUCCCAGUCUAUACCGAGGCGAGAUCGACGGUCUGAUGAAACAACAUUCAAACUAUCAGAGGCAACGGCCGACCUAUCAAGAUCAGAGUGCAGACCUCGGAAUGACUUAUGGUCAGACGCCGAUGGAAACUGGUUCCGCUCGCACUACAAUGCAUCUCUCUCAGCAGCAUUCGAUGCAUCAGACGCAAGUCGGACGUUCCGCGCAACCUGCGUCAACGGUGGGCGUCAAGCAGCAAAGAAGUUUCAGUAGUAGUGACGAAGAACGUAGCACACCGGAGUGCGCCAGUGACGAGCCGGACGAGUCGGAAAAGGGGAAGGGAUACUACCACCACACAGGAGGUCCGAAAUCGAUGUCCAGUGGGCGUAGGCACAACGGAUCCCACAAUGGGUACCACGGUGCGGGCGCGAGCAUGGUCAUCGAGCAUAACGGCCAUCAUCCACCGCGAGAGCCGCGAAAAGAAGAGAGCACUCUUGUCAGACGGAGUUUCCGAAGGUGCGGCGACGAGUGGCGCGCCGAUAGUAGGAGGUUCACGGAGAGGAGGGGGAAAAAGACAGUGCGUUUUGACGGUGGGACCAAUGUCGGCGGCUCUCAGGAGGAGGAAUGGUCUUGGGAGGCCGAUCGGCAGGGUAGCCAAGACAGCGCGACCAAAGACUCCGGGAUAGACACUUCUAGCACCUUCACGAGCAGUGAAGACAGCAACAGGGGCGAUCUGCCCAAGCAUCCAUCCUGGCAAGUGAGCGAAGACGGUGAGAAGAUCAUCGGCCACAUGGUCUUACGAAAGUCGGCUGGUUCCGGGAGCUGUAGUAGUAUACUCGGGCUAAAAGUUGUCGGCGGGAAAUUAUUGGAAGACGGUUCCAUGGGAGCGCUGAUCGAGAAGGUGAAAGAGGGUAGCACGGCGGACGUAGAAGGUCAACUUAGGCCCGGUGACGAGGUGAUCAUGUGGAAUGGAAGAUCCCUUCAGGGCAAGAGCUUCCAAGAAGUUUACGACAUCAUCGCCGAGUCGAGGCUGGAGCCGCAGAUCGAACUCGUAGUUGAGAGGAAGUUGUCGUCGACGGCAACAGGCUUGCCGCUUUCAGAACCGGGCCCGUCGACGUCCAUGGCGUCGAGGAGGAUGGUCGCCCAGAGUCAAUGGAGACAGAAACACGAGACCAUCUCCGGGCCUCAGCAACCGCAUCACAAAGGUCUUAAGAAAUGUAUUCUGUGGGAGUUGUACGACGCGAGGCGUGAGAAACCCUCGGUUUUAGUGACGUCGCCCGGCUCGCCGGACCUGUACGCCCAAGGACGCAGUCGACAUUCGACCGACGUCCGACAUCCGACCGGACAUGCGAACGUGGGCGGUAGCAUUCAGGUGAAGCUGGGUUACGAUCCCAUGCAACUUCAGCUGAACGUCACGAUAAUUUGCGCCGCGGGGCUCGCGCCAAAGAGCAACGGCCAACCAAGAAAUCCUUACGCCAAGGUUUUUCUACUUCCUGACAAAAGCGAGAAAUCGAAACGCCGAACGAAGACCGUGGCGAACACAAACGAUCCUAGGUGGAAUCAAACUUUCGUUUAUACGAAAGUCAGACGUUCGGAGCUGCGGAAAAGAGCGCUCGAGAUUACGGUCUGGGACUACGCGAGGUACGAGGUGAACGAUUUUCUCGGCGAGGCUGUCCUGGAAUUGGCAGUAUGUCCCUUAGACGAGGAACCAGAAUGGCAUUCUCUGACUGCUCACGGAGAACACCGGCACUUGAGACAUUACCAAGAUUCCGAUGACAUGAUAGACUGUCAUCUUAGUCCACCGUCGACCACCUCGAGAUUAAGUGACUCCGACACCUCGGAGUGCGAUAUUACGGACUGCGACGUGUCGAGAGAACCAAGAAGAACGGCCGACGGUGCCAGCAUAAGUAGUAUCGGCAGUUCCUCUAGGUUUCAUAAUAUGCCGUCAAAUUAUAAGCGCCACCAUUCUAGCCCGCCGCUGGAGAGGGAGUUCUGCGCGGACGGUGAACAUCGGAGUCGACGAGACAUGUCGCCGCAAGGACGCAAGAGAGCCGCUCUUAUGAUAUCCCGCGAUCAGCCCGCUUCUAUCGGAUCAGCUUAUCAAACAUAUCGUAAGGACGACAUCCAUCGGGGAAUGAUGAGUCACAGGUCGCAUAGCGCAGCGCCUAUGGACUCUCCGAGUGUCAGAUACCGAGGAAGGUCUCAGAGUCCCACUGGUCAUCGUUCUUUGUCUCCGCCCGAGCAAAGAUCCAUUCCCUACUUGCACGGAUAUGUUCAUACGACGAGAUUUGGCUCAAGAUCGGCAACUGCCACUCCCACCGGUUCCCCGAAGAAACGCCAGCUACCUCAAAUCCCGGCAGCCUUGAAGGAAAGGGUCGCGCAAGAUUUAGAAGAACGAGCGAGGUUUAUGAGACACCGCAACAGGCCGUCGAUAUACAGAAGCACGGGUAUGGGAGGCUGGGAAAAGCACUAUAGUGGCCUUUCGGACUCUGACCUUCCUUCAAUGGGACACGAUUCGCUAGCAUUAUCACACAGUCACGCUCAUAGAAUACACAGACCGAGGAGAGGACACUUAAGUCCCGACAAGGACAUACUCGGUGAUCUCGGCGACUCGGACAUGGAAAGCAUAGCUUCGGUAACGAGCAGUGCCUUUAGUACACAAUCGGAACGACCACGUGGAUCGAGAUUAAUGGAGUACAGCGGCCAGUCGAGCUCGUACGAGAAGACGUCGUCCAGACAUCAGGUCACCGACAACGGGCACGACGACAAGAGGAACCAGUUCACGAGAAGUCUCAGCAACGCCGACGUGCCCCAAGACGAGAAAGACACGGGUAGUUUCAGCGACACGGCGAUUGCUCUUAACGUUGAAGACGCGUCGAGAAGAGGCCGCAAGAGCUCGCCGGGAAGUAAAAGCGGAAGCGGAAGCAGCAGCGGAAGCGCGGUACAAUAUCAAGCCGGUCUGGGCAAGAAGAGUAACAGCACCAGCCAGUUGUCCGCGACAGGACGGAAACGGCGGCUGGGUUUCGGGAAGAAGGGGAAGUCGUCCUUUACAGUUCACAGGAGCGAGGAGGUCUUGCCGCCGGAGGAUACGGUCGGUAGCGGUAGGAGCGGCCGGCAGCCAAGCUCCGCGAGCAGCGACGGCGAGGGGAGCGGCGACGGGGACAGUUGGUCUCCCAGUCUGCGAAUGGCAGGCGAAGGGCAGUUGAGAGACUUCAUCGAAGAUCUUGGACCGGGUCAAGUGGUCGGAAGACAAGCACUUGGUGCCCAUUGCCUCGGCGAGAUUCAACUAUCGUUGAGCCACACGAGGGGUUACCUUGAAGUAGAGGUCAUACGUGCCAAAGACCUUAAACCGAAACAAGGCAGCAAAGUGAUACCAGCUCCAUACGUAAAACUUUAUCUGGUGAACGGCAAGAGAUGUAUAGAAAAAGCGAAAACAGCGAUGGCGAGAAAAACAUUGGAUCCGUUCUAUCAACAGUUAUUGGCUUUCAAAGAAAACUGCCGAGGUUGUAUAUUACAGGUGACAGUGUGGGGUGACUACGGCCGAAUAGAAGGGAAAAAAGUGUUCAUGGGUAUUGCACAGAUCGUAUUAGAUGAGCUGGACCUCAAUCAGAUGGUGUUCGGAUGGUACAAGCUGUUUGACACCCAAGCCCUGGUCAGUGGAGCUCCAUCCCUUGCUUUGUCCCGUCGAUCUUCGGCCACGUCUCUCGAUUCUUUUAAAAUCUAAAAGAACGACCAGAACGUACCGAAGAGAGAAUGUUACCGAAAUAUUCCUUUUAUAUGUAUUUUAAUGGGAAAUCUUUGAGUUUUUUUACAGUAGACAUAAAAGUAGAGCAAAACACGAUUGAGUUCGAGCUCCUAUCGCGAUGCACCUCUAGUUUCGCUUUUACCAUUAAUAAAAUACCGAAAUGCACGAGUCUCAAUGUGUAAGAUAGUAUUAUAUUCACUGAUUACAAAAAAAAAAAGAAAGAUUAAAAGUGAAAAAUCAUUGUAAAUCGGUUUUAACAACGUAAAAUGAGACAAAUUUUAAAUGACACGCGGAAGAUCAUCGCUUAAUGGAUAAUUACAUGUAUACUCAAGUGUAAAAUAUACAUAUUGUAGAAAAUAGAAACUAUUCACACACAUACAUCACUGUUAUAUGUAAAAAGUUGAGAAAUAUCAUGAUGGUAGAUAAUUCUCUAUCGUGUGUCUCGUAAAUUAUCACUUAUAUUCUUCACUGCAGUUGAUACACAAGUUUGAAAAAAAAAACUUUAUUACACGCUACUCUGUAAGCUAAUUUACUGUUGAAAAGCCUAACACUACUAAAUGAGUAACGUUCGGCUCUGAAUACGGUAAAGUCACAGUAAUUAACGAAGAAACACAAAGAACAGAGUACAUAUGUAGUAACGGAUAGUAAAAACAUGUUAAGCGAGAUCGGAAUAAAAAUGAUCAAAAGAACACACGUUACCACAAAGACGACGCGAGAGAAUGCGGAAAGAGUGAAAGAACGUACGAAAGGAUAUGUCUUUCUAGAGAAAACACCACUAGUACAUCACAUAUCAUGUACGGCAUAUCAGACGAGCCACUAGUCUGUAUGUAGACUAGAUGUAGACGUAGCCAGCCAUGUUCCCGGAGCGCCAGAUAGUUUUUAGUGAAAACAAAGCAAACCGAGCAAGUUUGGGACAGAUGUGAACUCAAAUGUGGUGUACUAGGUAAAAUAAGAUGUGAAACGAUGUGAAAUCUUAAAUGUGAUUAAGUGAGUAAUAAGAAAAUUAAUGAAUACAAUGAGAAAUGGAGCAACAAACGGUCCGUGGACUUCAUUUAAUCGUCAUGAAGAGAAAACAAAAUGUUGAAAAAUGUUGAAAGAACAUAUAUAAAUAUAUUACAUAUACUAAUGAAAACAAAAGACGUUUCGAAACUUUGUAUAUAAUUUAGGACAGUUCAAGUACUUAAAUACCGAUCUCCGAAGCGAUCGACUAAAAAAAAAAAAAAAAGACGUUUAUCGUUGUCAAAUUUUUAGUCAAGAAAAUAUUACACACUCACAUUCAGAGAAUAUAUGAUUUAAUGUAAAUAAUAUAAUAAUUAUAUAUGAAUUUGUGCGAUAUGUGUGUGCGCGCAGGUUUGAAUGGGUAAUGACGUUUGACUUAUAGUUUCUAACAAUAAUUGUUAUUAUAAUUUUCACACAUUUUUUGUUAAUUAGAGAUUUUUAAACUCAAUCUAAAUUAUUAUUAUUUUUUUUUUAACUCAGCGUCGGAAUAUUUAGAUUGUACGAUGAUGUGAUUAAUUACACAGUUCAUUCCUUGAUAACAUUCAUUGUACAAUUAUUCGGCUUUUUUUACUUUCGUUUAAACUAACUUGUGUCCAAAAAUGAGACAUUCAUUAUGAUAUAAAGAAUGUGGAAAUAAGUAAGUACCCACGUUUUGCAAGUACGAAGCAGACUGACAAAUCGAUUCCUAUACGCAUUUCUAGUUUGGUUGUUUUUCGUUGAUUAGCAUUUUCAAAGGUGUGUAAAGAGAAGCUAUUAUUACAUCCAAAAACUCAUAAAUUAGCUCUUUGUUUGGUAAAUUUUAUUUGACAAUUUUAUUCGCACAUAAGAGAAACAGUUUUUUGAAACAAAUUGAAGAAGUAAGCCGCCCAUACAAUUCGCGUGAAUGGGACGCGUCGUGGCAAAAAGUUCUCUCUUUCGUACUGAUUUUGUACAAAACAAAAAAAAAGACAAAAAACAGCAAAUGCCCCCCACUAAGUGUUUAAGAGGCUUUGUAAAUCUCUGUAAGAAGUACGUAAAAAAAAAAAUGCUUGUCAUUAAUUUUAUAUCUUAAUUAUCGUGCUAUGUGUUCGCGCGGGCGCGCGCGAUCUUUUCUCGUGCGUAUGUCGAACACUCGCAAAGAUACAUUCAGUGAGUAUGCACAUACACGUUUAAAAGCGUCUGCUCUCUCUGUGAAUUAGUAAAUAAUUACAUUCCUGCUCCGAGUAAGAAAGAGAGAGAGAGAGAAAUAGAGAGAGAGAAAGGGAGAGAAAGA